CCUACGGGAGGCUGCAGUGGGGAAUAUUGGGCAAUGGGCGCAAGCCUGACCCAGCAACGCCGCGUGAAGGAAGAAGGCUUUCGGGUUGUAAACUUCUUUUCUGAGGGACGAAGACAGUGACGGUACCUCAGGAAUAAGCCACGGCUAACUACGUGCCAGCAGCCGCGGUAAUACGUAGGUGGCAAGCGUUAUCCGGAUUCAUUGGGUGUAAGGGGGGUGUAGGCGGAAAGCAAGUCAGAUGUGAAAACUCAGGGCUCAACCCUGAGCCUGCAUUUGACACUGUUUUUCUUGAGUGCUGGAGAGGCAAUCGGAAUUCCGUGUGUAGCGGUGAAAUGCGUAGAUAUACGGAGGAACACCAGUGGCGAAGGCGGAUUGCUGGACAGUAACUGACGCUGAGGCGCGAAAGCGUGGGGAGCAAACAGGAUUAGAUACCCCUGUAGUC
Molecule: ribosomal RNA, 442 nt
Filed under: uncultured bacterium
Lineage: Bacteria
Description: partial 16S ribosomal RNA
Rfam family: Bacterial small subunit ribosomal RNA
Source: RNAcentral